GACGAACGCUGGCGGCGUGCCUAAUACAUGCAAGUCGAGCGAAGUUUUUCUGGUGCUUGCACCGGAGAAACUUAGCGGCGAACGGGUGAGUAACACGUAAAGAACCUGCCUCAUAGACUGGGACAACUAUUGGAAACGAUAGCUAAUACCGGAUAACAGCAUUAACUGCAUGGUUGAUGUUUAAAAGUUGGUUUUGCUAACACUAUGAGAUGGCUUUGCGGUGCAUUAGCUAGUUGGUGGGGUAAAGGCCUACCAAGGCGACGAUGCAUAGCCGACCUGAGAGGGUGAUCGGCCACACUGGGACUGAGACACGGCCCAGACUCCUACGGGAGGCAGCAGUAGGGAAUCUUCCGCAAUGGGCGAAAGCCUGACGGAGCAACGCCGCGUGAGUGAAGAAGGAUUUCGGUUCGUAAAGCUCUGUUGUUAGGGAAGAAUGAUUGUGUAGUAACUAUACACAGUAGAGACGGUACCUAACCAGAAAGCCACGGCUAACUACGUG
This 499-nucleotide ribosomal RNA is filed under the name uncultured bacterium. RNAcentral's name for it is "partial 16S ribosomal RNA". It matches the Rfam family "Bacterial small subunit ribosomal RNA", at positions 28 to 507 of the family's 1533-position model. The record is from RNAcentral.